GAUUAACGCUGGCGGUGUGUCUAAUACAUGCAAGUCGAACGGGAAUCUUCGGAUUCUAGUGGCGGACGAGCGAGUAACACGUUGGAACCUGCCCCGAACUCAGGGAUAAGCACUGGAAACGGUGUCUAAUACCGGAUAGUCCCAAAGGGUAAAGAUUUUCGGUUCGGAGGGGCCUGCGUCCUAUCAGCUUGUUGGUAAGGUAAUGGCUUACCAAGGCUAUGACGGGUAACUGGUCUGAGAGGAUGAUCAGUCGCGAUGGAACUGAGACACGGUCCAUACUCCUACGGGAGGCAGCAGUAGGGAAUAUUCCACAAUGGGCGAAAGCCUGAUGGAGCAACACCGCGUGGUCGAUGAAGCAUUUCGGUGUGUAAAGACCUUUUCUGAGGGAAGAAUUAUGACUGUACCUUAGGAAUAAGCACCGGCUAACUCCGUG
RNAcentral lists this ribosomal RNA (433 nucleotides) under uncultured bacterium. Its description in RNAcentral is "bacterial SSU rRNA". It matches the Rfam family "Bacterial small subunit ribosomal RNA", at positions 28 to 507 of the family's 1533-position model. The record is from RNAcentral.